RNAcentral lists this ribosomal RNA (442 nucleotides) under uncultured bacterium. RNAcentral's name for it is "partial 16S ribosomal RNA". It matches the Rfam family "Bacterial small subunit ribosomal RNA", at positions 338 to 795 of the family's 1533-position model. The record is from RNAcentral.
CCUACGGGAGGCUGCAGUAGGGAAUCUUUCACAAUGGGCGAAAGCCUGAUGGAGCAACGCCGCGUGCAGGAUGAAGGCUUUCGGGUUGUAAACCGCUUUUAUAAGCGAGAAAUAUGACGGUAACUUAUGAAUAAGGAUCGGCUAACUACGUGCCAGCAGCCGCGGUCAUACGUAGGAUCCGAGCAUUAUCCGGAGUUACUGGGUGUAAAGAGUUGGGUAGGUGGGAUAAUAAGUAGCUAGUGAAAUCUGGUGGCUCAACCAUUCAGACUAUUAGGUAAACUGUUAAGCUCGAGACCGUUAGGGGUAACUGGAAUUUCUAGUGUAGGAGUGAAAUCCGUAGAUAUUAGAAGGAACACCAGUGGCGUAGGCAGGUUGCUGGGACGGUUCUGACACUGAGGCACGAAGGCGUAGGGAGCAAACGGGAUUAGAUACCCUUGUAGUC